GGCGGUAAUAGCGGCAGGGAAACGCCCGGACCCAUCCCGAACCCGGAAGCUAAGCCUGCCAGCGCCGAUGAUACUG
Molecule: ribosomal RNA, 76 nt
Filed under: Mycolicibacterium arabiense
Lineage: Bacteria; Bacillati; Actinomycetota; Actinomycetes; Mycobacteriales; Mycobacteriaceae
Source: RNAcentral